Molecule: ribosomal RNA, 313 nt
Filed under: Urechis caupo
Lineage: Eukaryota; Metazoa; Annelida; Polychaeta; Xenopneusta; Urechidae
Description: eukaryotic LSU rRNA
Rfam family: Eukaryotic large subunit ribosomal RNA
Source: RNAcentral
CCAAGGAGUCUAACAUGUGCGCGAGUCAUGGGACUUUACGAAAUCUAAAGGCGCAAUGAAGGUGAAGGCUUUCCGUUCGGUGAGCCCAGGUCUGAUCCCUCGCCCGAGUAGGCGGAGGCGCACGACUGGCCCGUCUCGUCCCCAUCGCGGGUGAGGCGGAGCAAGAGCGUACACGUUGGGACCCGAAAGAUGGUGAACUAUGCCUGAGUAGGACGAAGCCAGAGGAAACUCUGGUGGAGGUCCGUAGCGAUUCUGACGUGCAAAUCGAUCGUCAAACCUGGGUAUAGGGGCGAAAGACUAAUCGAACCAUCUA